UCAUGUGACCAAACCUUUAUUUACGUUUAACAAGUGAAUGACUUUUAAUGUUAACAAACAACUAUCAUCCAUUUGUCUUGGUAUUGUGGUGCAUCCUAAAUGACAGAUUUUGUGAACUGAAGUGGAGUAGAAAUAGCCCUAGUUCACACUAUGAAGAUAGCAUGUCUCUAAAGAACAAGUGUAAACAGAUAUCAAGGCACAAACAUAUGUAAAAAGACUUGGAUUGAAAUAAAAAGUACAGAACGAUCCAUGUUAGGAACAGACAUAACCACUUAAAAAUUUUGCAGAUAUCUUAAAAGUGACACAUAACCAUUUAUGUUUUGUUUCUUUUAAGAAGUUACUUAAGGAAUGUUAAUCAGUUUGUGGGGAAUACAAGCUAAUCUAUGGACAAGUCAUGCAGAACAAUGCACUAUAGUACAAGAGUGAAUAUUGAUUCUGUGUAAACAUUGUACAAAAAACAUUUUCCCUUCAUCCAUUUUCAUUCUCCAUGCUUGUUGGUUUUCUUCUAAAAAAUAAGUUCUGUUUACAGUCAAAAGGUUCAUAAAAUGCCAGUUAACAUAAGUUAAUAGAAUUUUUAUAAAAAAAGGUUCAUUUGACUUUAUCCUUUUAUUAAAAUGCAAAAGUAAAAGGCAAAGUAAAAUGUAAACCUAAAAGGAAAACACAAUAAGAGAUCCAAAUAUAAAAGAACGCUCAAUAAGUCAAAUAAAUACCAAGAGGUUCCCCAACUGGUCCACGAAAAUGGAAAACAUGUUUUUUGUUUGUUUUUUUCCCCCAGUGUUUUGAUUUAGUCGUUUGGUAUAAUGAGAUUGCAGGUCUUAAUUGUGUCAAACUUUACUCUUACAACAAUCAUUUAUUGAAGGCCAGUUGGCCAACAUACAGUUACACAGUUUCCAAAUGCAAUUAAAAAAGCAGAUCUUUUCAUGUAAGUGCCUUAAUUGUUAUUUGAUUGCUUUUGUCAAAUUAGAAAGUUCUCGGUCAUAUAUGUGUACAAGUAACCCCUGAUAAGGAGCAGUAAGCUAUACAGUAUAUAAAAACAAUAACAACAGAUCAGACAGAUAACGUGAUGGUUGCAAAACAGUGAUUGUUAAAGUUCUUUCAGGUUCCCCCUCUAGGAAUCAGUUCUCUUAUGGUUUUCAUUAUGAAAAGCAGUAAUCAUUCAUGGCUAUUGCAGUCACUCAUGCAGUCUGUGUGCGUCGGGUUUUGUCCUGCAUGAAAAGACAAACAAGUAUACAUUCUUUAGACAAGUUAAUGUACAUAAAAUAAAAUGAAGAAAAAGAAGCUCUUGUUUCACGUUUGACUUUCUGAUUUCUAGUGUUGAUUGCAAAUUAAAUUUUUAGUGAAAAAAAUUGCACAGAUCUUGAGAAGUUAAAAAAAUGCAAUGUAAAAAGUAAUUUCACUCAAUUUAAAUCACAUUCAAAUAAGUCACUAUACAAAUUCAUGCUGAAAAACUCCCAAGUUCCCAAGUUCUGUCUUCCCUUUAAUUUUCUUUUCAGCAGACAUGAACUUAAUUUUGUAUCACAGCAAUGACAUUUGUCUUACUCUGGAUAAUCCACUGUUUACUAUUGCCGAACAACAAGGCAACCCACUU
Molecule: long non-coding RNA, 1588 nt
Organism: Astatotilapia calliptera (eastern happy)
Lineage: Eukaryota; Metazoa; Chordata; Actinopteri; Cichliformes; Cichlidae
Source: Ensembl